This 331-nucleotide ribosomal RNA is filed under the name uncultured eukaryote. RNAcentral describes it as "partial 18S ribosomal RNA". It matches the Rfam family "Eukaryotic small subunit ribosomal RNA", at positions 1470 to 1796 of the family's 1831-position model. The record is from RNAcentral.
CCCUUAGAUGUCCUGGACCGCACGCGCGCUACACUGUUCGACGCAGCGAGUCUUAACCUUGACCGAAAGGUUUGGGUAAUCUUCAGCAAAGUCGAACGUGAUGGGGAUCGAUCAUUGCAAUUAUUGAUCGUGAACGAGGAAUUCCUAGUAAGUGCAAGUCAUCAGCUUGCGCUGAUUACGUCCCUGCCCUUUGUACACACCGCCCGUCGCUACUACCGAUUGAAUGGUUUAGUGAGAUCUCUGGAUUGACGCUGGCUAGGGGGCGACCCUUGGCCAGACUGUUGAGAAACUGCUCAAACUUGAUCAUUUAGAGGAAGUAAAAGUCGUAACA